GGGGGGGGGGGGGCAAACCUGCUUUCGGUUUCGCCUCCGACCAAUGUUUUCCAUCGCCAAGGAUCUAGGUCGCUGGGUUUGGUGGUUGCUGCGGUUCGUCAACUCCCUUAGGCAAGGGGUGUCUUCAGCUCCUUGGUUUGUUUUGGCUGCCGAUGUUCUCCUCUUUCGGCGACCGCGGAAGAUUUGGUCGGCUCGGAGAGUAGCAGUCUAUCCUCUUGUAUCCUCUUUGUAUUUUGUUGCUUGUAUGCGAAGCCGGAUUGUAUCCUUACUCAUAUGAAUACAAGUAGAGUACGCCUCUUUAAAAAAAAAGAUACACCAUUACAUGAACCAUGUCAAAAUGAAAUGAAUUAACACAAGGGUGCCAAGACUCAACCCUCAACAUUGUCUUCCGUUUUUUAAUUUCAAAAUGUAAACAAACUCCGAAAAGCCUGAAAAUACAUGUUGGAAAAUAUAUUCAGAUAGGGUACAGAAAAUAGAUUCCGUUCGAGUUAUCCAUGUCCAAGAACAAAUUUAAUUUAGUAAAAUAAAACAAAAAAAGUAAGGAAAAAAACCACGAAAAUGAAUAGUAGCAUGUGCGUUUCAAACCUAGCACGUCUUUGCAUUGCUAAUGCCAGAUAACCACUACAGUAAGCUACCAUUUCAAUGUAAAACACACACCGGACGUUUUUAUAGGAGGAAAUGAUUUUUUCUAGCCUGCUGCGUUCUGAUUGGACGAACCAGACCUCCCACGGAUCAAGCGUCUCCACCGUCCAUUCUUACCCGAUCCAACGGUCGCUGCUCCUUCUACUCUCUAUUUGUGCUUUCCCUGGUUCUUAUCCUCUCACACAGUACGCGAGCACGAUGCGAGCAGCAGCAGCAGAGCCCGACGAACUCCAGAGCUCGCAGCGGACGCAGGCCGCCGUCUGCGUGACGGGCCUCCGCCCGCACCUCCCACCGUAGCACGCCGCAAUGGAGGCCAAGCGCCCAUGGAAUCGUCUGAGCUCUCCUCCCAGCCGCCGUUCUCCUUCAAAUUCGUCGGGAUCCGGUUGGAUCUAGACGCCGGCGCCCCGUUCCCGACCUUCCCGCCUUGCUUGGGUCGUCGGCCACCGCGACGAUGUCAAUAUCGCUCGCGGGAUCCAGCGCCACCGCUGCUGGCCACUUCCUCGCCUGGAGGAGAUGCCCCCACAUCCGCGGCUCCCCACACGAGCAGCAGCAGCGAACACGUCGCUAAGGCCGUCUCCGGCGGUGUCUUUUUCUUUUUAUAGAAGUUUGCCAAAUCUGUGCCAGAACAGCCAUGGCGAUGAACUCCAGCUCAAGGCCCGCGAGCGCUUGGUGGCGUUUGAUGCGGUGCCUGGAGAAUAUCUCUGGGCAGAGUAGUAGGCCAGAUCUAGUUUAGGAAAAAAAAAUCUGUAAUUCCAAGUUUUUCUUGUGUAUUUCUUCUUUUUGGUAAAACAAAUUUUAGUUAUCUGGUA
Molecule: long non-coding RNA, 1451 nt
Organism: Triticum urartu
Lineage: Eukaryota; Viridiplantae; Streptophyta; Magnoliopsida; Poales; Poaceae
Source: RefSeq, a predicted model, not a curated record